GCAGACGCGAAGCCGCCGACUGCGGCUACCGUAGACCGAACUUCGAGCUACCAAUCACGGCCGCUAGGCGCGUUCCCAUCUACUGCAACGAACGCUGCGCCCUCUUCGUCAACCGCGCGUUAAUUCAAAUUCUUCUUUCGUUCCUUCGAUGUCCUUACAUAUAUACUACAUAUGCAUCAUCGAAAAUCGCUAUGUUUUUCUUUACGAAUUUGAUCUUACAUCGAUCGUAAUAAUUAUCGAUCAUUGAUACGUUAUUUAAACGAUACGAUACAUUUUCUAGUUUUGCAUUCUUAUUUUCGUUUUGAAUAUCACAACCAGAGGUACGUUUAUAAACCGCGUAAUCUAUGAGUGCGUGCACUGUACUGAAUCAACAAUGGAGUGUCCCUCAAGGAUUUGUACGUCCGAGAUACUAAAAAGUUUCCUUUUAACUUUUUCGAGAAAGAAAAAGAAGAGGAGGCUGCAAUAUCCGAUGACUCCACGUGCAACUACCUACGCCUGUAUCGAGAAUACGUAAUGAGGAAACCGUUCGAUGACUUUAAGAUGGUGAUACACGUGAUACACGUGAUACACGUUUGUUGCAUCGUUAAGAAUUAUAAUCCUGAAUUACGAACGAACAAAGGACACGUCGUAUUGCUAAAACUACGACUUGCAGAUCUCCUCCUCAUUCUCCUCUUCCAGUAUAUGUACUCAAUUUUAACUCGUUUCUAUUAAGGGAAAAUGAAACUUGUUAAGGGACACGAUUGAACGAAAGGAUAGAAAAAUCGACGAUUGCUUUCGUCGAGCGUUUGUUGUAUUUAUAUCAAUCGAUGUUAACGAAGUCGAAUUACUUCAAUAAGUAAAACGGAGCGUUAGUGUUAACGUAUAUACUCCGAGAGCAAUCAUUUCAGAACAAGCUUUGAAAAUAAACAACGAUCUAAUGUAAGACAUACAUACGUAGAAAACGGGUAUCGGUAAAAUAUGAAAUGUAAACGUUUCGAAAGAUUCGUAUGGCAUCUGUAUUUUUCCCAAGCGUUUUAAAAAUAGUGUAUUCACCCUGCUGUUCGUUUUCAAGUGUUCAAGAUAAGCUUCAUUAAUCUAACCUACUGACAUGUAACGGCGACUGCUUGCUAACGCGUAUCUUCUUUUUAUCCGACCUUUUCAUACGUACGUACGACAUACAUAGUAUCGAACGAGAAAUUUUAACGAACGGAGAGACGUACCACGCGGUAAUUUAUGCGAGUUAAAAGGAGUGCUCUUGAACGCGCAGAGGUUAACAUAAACUCGUACGCGUAUAUACGUUUCUCGCUCAACUCGGUAGGGGCCAAACAAUACAACUAAUUAUCAUCAAUUAUACCAAAGAGAAAGGAUAAAAGAAA
RNAcentral lists this long non-coding RNA (1355 nucleotides) under Polistes fuscatus (common paper wasp). RNAcentral describes it as "uncharacterized LOC122521965". Lineage: Eukaryota; Metazoa; Arthropoda; Insecta; Hymenoptera; Vespidae. The record is from RNAcentral.